RNAcentral lists this ribosomal RNA (199 nucleotides) under uncultured bacterium. RNAcentral describes it as "partial 16S ribosomal RNA". It matches the Rfam family "Bacterial small subunit ribosomal RNA", at positions 1301 to 1500 of the family's 1533-position model. The record is from RNAcentral.
CAGGCUGCAACCCGCCUGCAUGAAGUCGGAAUUGCUAGUAAUCGCGGAUCAGCAUGCCGCGGUGAAUACGUUCCCGGGCCUUGUACACACCGCCCGUCACACCAUGGGAGCCGGUAAUACCCGAAGUCAGUAGUCCAACCUCGUGAGGACGCUGCCGAAGGUAGGAUUGGCGACUGGGGUGAAGUCGUAACAAGGUACC